Long non-coding RNA from Photinus pyralis (common eastern firefly), 303 nucleotides. RefSeq lists it as uncharacterized. Lineage: Eukaryota; Metazoa; Arthropoda; Insecta; Coleoptera; Lampyridae. The record is from RefSeq and is a predicted model, not a curated record. The transcript has 2 exons.
UAUGAUGUCGAAUUUAAUACAAAAUAUCCUUGCCUCAAUAUGGACAGAGAGAAUCAUAACCGGCCUAUUUUCUAUGGAGUGGAUUGCUCACGUGCUCAAGAAUUUAUUUGUGAACAGAAAUCUACACGUGGGCACAACCAUUUCGGUGAUGCAGACAUCUUUGAUGAAGAAAUAGAGGCGAGAAUGUUUUAAUUAGAAGUUCUACAAAUUUUGUAACAUUGCGCGUAAUAAAUGAUGCCAAAGAUACAAUUUUGUGAACGCAAUUAUAGUUUAAAGGUUGUUAAUAAAACGAGACGAAUUAUU